This 253-nucleotide ribosomal RNA is filed under the name uncultured prokaryote. RNAcentral describes it as "partial 16S ribosomal RNA". It matches the Rfam family "Bacterial small subunit ribosomal RNA", at positions 524 to 776 of the family's 1533-position model. The record is from RNAcentral.
UACGUAGGAUGCAAGCGUUGUCCGGAUUUACUGGGCGUAAAGCGCGCGCAGGCGGUCCAAUAAGUAUGGCGUGAAAUCUCCUUGCUCAACGGGGAGGGUGCGUUGUAGACUGUAGGACUUGAGGUCGGUAGAGGGGGGUGGAAUUGCUGGUGUAGCGGUGAAAUGCGUAGAGAUCAGCAGGAACACCCGUGGCGAAGGCGGCCCCCUGGGCCGAUCCUGACGCUGAGGCGCGAAGGCUAGGGGAGCGACCCGG